Molecule: ribosomal RNA, 397 nt
Filed under: Escherichia coli
Lineage: Bacteria; Pseudomonadati; Pseudomonadota; Gammaproteobacteria; Enterobacterales; Enterobacteriaceae
Also listed under: 1 other name
Description: partial 23S ribosomal RNA
Rfam family: Bacterial large subunit ribosomal RNA
Source: RNAcentral
UUCCUGUCCAACGUUAAUCGGGGCAGGGUGAGUCGACCCCUAAGGCGAGGCCGAAAGGCGUAGUCGAUGGGAAACAGGUUAAUAUUCCUGUACUUGGUGUUACUGCGAAGGGGGGACGGAGAAGGCUAUGUUGGCCGGGCGACGGUUGUCCCGGUUUAAGCGUGUAGGCUGGUUUUCCAGGCAAAUCCGGAAAAUCAAGGCUGAGGCGUGAUGACGAGGCACUACGGUGCUGAAGCAACAAAUGCCCUGCUUCCAGGAAAAGCCUCUAAGCAUCAGGUAACAUCAAAUCGUACCCCAAACCGACACAGGUGGUCAGGUAGAGAAUACCAAGGCGCUUGAGAGAACUCGGGUGAAGGAACUAGGCAAAAUGGUGCCGUAACUUCGGGAGAAGGCACGC